RNAcentral lists this long non-coding RNA (2290 nucleotides) under Drosophila melanogaster (fruit fly). Its description in RNAcentral is "long non-coding RNA:CR46475 (Dmel_CR46475)". The record is from RNAcentral. Lineage: Eukaryota; Metazoa; Arthropoda; Insecta; Diptera; Drosophilidae.
CGUUCGCAUGUCCACAAUCUGGAUAUCGGGUAUUUAAGAGUCGGGGAACUCCACUAUAGCAUUCUCCCUUAUUUAUUAUAAUAACGUUGGGUAGCAGAAGAAAUUAGCAAAGCAAUAAAAUAUAUACAUAUAUCUAUGUAUAAUCUUAUAAAUAAUCAGUAUGAACAUCCGAGUCCAUGCGGCCAUGUUCGUGCUGAUGUAUUUCCGUCUGUCUCCGGAACUAAAAGAGUUUGUUUUAGAAGAUUUCCACUACCACUAUAUCACCUACAAUUCUAUCAAUAAUCCAAAAACUUGUCGGUCACGCCCAAUUUAACGCUUUCGAAUCGAAAUAAAAGCAAAAGUGUUUUCUGCCUCAGCACCAAUAUCUAAUUUCUUUUAAAUUAAUGUGCUAGUUUUUCGUUGAAAAUUCCUAUAACAGCUUUAUGAAAUCGUGGACCACUUCUGAUCAAGGUAAAUAAGAAGUUAAAUAUUGUCAAAAAACGUAAGUAUACCUAGCUAGAACAUCGAAAAUAGGGUUUCAGAGAAGAAACCGAUGGAGUACACAUGGACGUGGUUUUAACCACUAGGCUAUUGAUGUAUAUACUUUAUAUGGCCAUAAUGGCCUAUUUUAUGUAUGCUCUCUGUAAGGAUUUACAUAUCUAGGAAAAUACAAGUUAAAACUUACUUAUUUCUGAUAAGCAUUUUAUCAAAUAAUACCGUUUAACUUACUUUAGUUGAGUCCUCUUGCAUUUUUGUAUGCUCUGCAAUAAAGCGCACACAAAAACAGCUUUUGUGAAUUUUAGGAAGGCAUUUAGAGUGGGAAAAUGCUGGAUUAUUUAAAAUGGGACUUUUCAUCCCUAAGGGUCCGAUAUCCAUAUCGGGGACGGCGGCUAUUUCGUCUGAACUACAAUGGGUGAGUGGCGGCACUGGGCCAUGAACCUGACAACUUCCUCCAAAUGGUCCAUUCGCCGUAAUGCUAAAGUAAAAGAUAUUUUGAUAACAUUAUACAAAAUACGAACUAUAGAGCCGGAACUGGCACGUGACUAUAGGAAAUUGACCCACUUUUUCUGGUCUAAAUUAAUAACUGCAGAACGAAGUUCAUUGGGUUACACUAGACCAUACCUUUUAUGAUACUAAAAAUUGUGGGCGUGGCACCGAUCGUUAUAUAUUUUUUAGUUGGUAACUCCAGAGCGCAGAAAGAUAUUUAGUUUACUUACACUAGACCAUAUCUAUGAAAAUCCCAAAAACUGAGGGCGCCCAUUAUAUUUAAUUAAGUAAUUUUCGUAUAGAGAAUUCUAUAAUUUCGCAUGCUUCUUCUAUUCCAAUAUUCUAUUAUAUUAAGUAAAAAAAUCAUUUAGUUAUUGUAUAUUGAUAAUAAUAUAUAUAAUAAUAUAUAUUUUCAAAUAAUAACAACAAAAUAAUAAUAAAAAUAAUAAAAAAAAUAUAGCAACCGCCUUUUAGCAUAAGAUUACUCUGAAUAUGAAAUGGUAGGGUUAGGUCCUAAAAGCUAAAAUUCAUUUGAAAUUACAAUUAUCUAAGCAAGAAUUAAAUAAGCUACAACAUGAGGUACAUUUAAUUGACGGUCUAGACUUUAAAUUCCGUAUGAAAGUUUAGUCAUUAUCAAAAAUUAUUUUUCUAAUGCAACUCAUUUUUCUAGUAAAUUUUUGGUACAACACGGUUUUUUUUUUGCUUUAAUAAAAGCCCCACUGAUUAAAGUACCAUUUGUAGGGGUAUUAUAUAUCCUCUUAAUUAACUAAAACACACAAAGGCAGGAGUUGGACUCUUUGAUUUAUUUGUUACUUUCCGUGUUCAGCUUUAGCAUUCGACUGACUCCCUCUCCGUUUGCGAUCUGCCUCUAUGCUUGUUGCUACAGGGCCGAUGUUGCGAAACAGAGAGAAUGCCACCCGAAAGCGAACAAGUACUUAAUGUUUAUAUACUAUGUUGCUAUUAUGAACUGAACUUAUGUAUGUGUACCUCUAGCCUACUACAAUUCGACCAUCCUGACAUUUAAGAUCACCUGAUCUUGUCGAAAUUUCCAACUUAUAACUAUUACAUUGUUCUUAGCCGCUAUUUGUUACAUUUUUUUACUUUUCUUAUCUUUAAUUAUACAAAUUUACUUUCUACUCCCUAUCCAAUGUUUAAUAUUUUGACUACUCCAGACACCUUGAUAUGGAUUUCGCGCCAAUUGAAAACCUUCAACAUCUUUAAUUAAAAACCUAUCAUUUUUCAAUACCUUCUCUAUUUCAUAUGGACCCUUAUGUUUAGGUAUUAGCUUUCUAGCAACUCCUCCUGUACUAUCGAAAUUCUUAAC